This 465-nucleotide ribosomal RNA is filed under the name uncultured bacterium. Its description in RNAcentral is "bacterial SSU rRNA". It matches the Rfam family "Bacterial small subunit ribosomal RNA", at positions 329 to 792 of the family's 1533-position model. The record is from RNAcentral.
UCCCAGACUCCUACGGGAGGCAGCAGUGAGGAAUAUUGGUCAAUGGGCGGGAGCCUGAACCAGCCAAGCCGCGUGAGGGAAGAAGGUACAGCGUAUCGUAAACCUCUUUUGUCAGGGAACAAAGGCGGGGACUAGUCCCCGGAUGAGGGUACCUGAAGAAAAAGCAUCGGCUAACUCCGUGCCAGCAGCCGCGGUAAUACGGAGGAUGCGAGCGUUAUCCGGAUUUAUUGGGUUUAAAGGGUGCGCAGGCGGCGAUUUAAGUCAGCGGUAAAAUUUCGGGGCUCAACCCCGACAAGCCGUUGAAACUGGCUUGCUAGAGUGGGCGAGAAGUAUGCGGAAUGCGUGGUGUAGCGGUGAAAUGCAUAGAUAUCACGCAGAACUCCGAUUGCGAAGGCAGCAUACCGGCGCCCAACUGACGCUCAGGCACGAAAGCGUGGGUAUCGAACAGGAUUAGAUACCCCUGUA